UUUUUCUUUUGUUUUAUAUGUACGUCACAUCAAUAGAUGGGGUGAAUGCAAAUGGGCAACAGCUAUAUAUAGUCCCACCAUGUCGUGUUAAGAUCAUUCUCCGUUCAUUCUCCAUUCUCAUAAGGUACAAGCAAACAAACCUGAUCAACAUGAGCCAGCUACAAAAAUCUAGCCCCCACUGGACAGCACAACCCAAUUGCCAAUCAAUAAAAAAGCAUGGCGAUGAAAUCCACAUAACUUCCAAGGCUCUAGAUAUCGUAUGGGGCAAUGAUCCACGUUUUUGGCAAUGGACAAAGCUUACAACGCAAGACUCUGAGUAAGUGAUUGGUGCGGAGCUCCUUCAAGUGAACUGGAUCGAAGUUGCCGGCAAGUUGUACAUGUCCAAUUUCCGGGCUGGGACAUGGGAAAUCUUCUACGUGGUCAAGUUCAAGGUGGAUGCAUUUGGCUGGCACUCUUCUCCAGUUAAAUUCAAGGUGAGCACCACAGAUGGGCAAAAGGACAACGUAAGACACAAGCUAGAGAAUUACAGGGUGGUGACCGAUAGGUGGCACGAGAUCAAUGGCGGCAAAUUCAACGUAGGGUCCUGUGGCCAGAGGGGAAUAGUUCAGUUUGGCAUGUAUGAAGUUGAAAGUGAUUGGUGGAAGGGCAGCAUGAUUCUUGAAGGAGUUAAGAUCAAGCUCAAGCAAUGAAGGGCGUAAUGCUACGUCAUGCUCGACUGAGGAGAGUAAAUGAGGAGGAGAUUUGCGGCACAUGUAUCAAGUAGUACACAUGCGUGAGAUCCGUAUCAUACAUCAGCGGGACCCACAUUAAGAAUUGGGCUGAUCCACUUAUCAUGUGGGCUGCCCGUGUUUGUUUCAUGUAGACAGCUGCUGUUCAUUUUUCUUUGUGACCAUCCGUCAUUCUCACAGGUGUGUGGACCUCCUAAUAGGCGGAAUGAGAGGGCAUGCGCAAGGUGGAUCAGACCUGAUGAACGGCUCAGAUCUCACCUAUAAGUGCGAUAUUGGAGCAAGUGCCACAAGUCUCUUCUUCUGUUUGCAUUCGAGAGGGAGAGUUUAGUAGCGAGAUGGACCUUGUGUUAACUCUAAAUUGUUGUAACAAUGGACAGUUUGGUUUGAUA
Magnolia sinica is the source of this 1117-nucleotide long non-coding RNA. RefSeq lists it as uncharacterized. The transcript has 3 exons. NCBI's taxonomy places the organism in Eukaryota, Viridiplantae, Streptophyta, Magnoliopsida, Magnoliales, Magnoliaceae. The record is from RefSeq and is a predicted model, not a curated record.